This 318-nucleotide signal recognition particle RNA is filed under the name Candidatus Bathyarchaeota archaeon. RNAcentral describes it as "signal recognition particle sRNA". It matches the Rfam family "Archaeal signal recognition particle RNA". The record is from RNAcentral. Lineage: Archaea; Thermoproteati; Candidatus Bathyarchaeota.
GGCGGUGGGGGAUCGGGGAGCUAGCCGUUCCCUGUAACCCGAAAUCGGCUAUAUGCGGGGAUCCGUUAACCAGGGAGGCGAUGACCCGACCCAGGGUAGGCCUGGACAUAUCAACUUUGAACUCCUGACCCGUCGGGCCGGCGGAGGGGCGUCCCCCUCUGAAGAGAGGGGGCGACCUCCUAACCACCGAAACCGGUUAGGCUCGGGAGAGAGCAGCCGUAAGGUGGACGCUCAGGCGCUGGCGGGAGGCCAGGGGGGAGGAGAUUGUCCAGAAACCGCUCUGGAGAGGGUCAUCAACUCUCUUGGGAUGCCACCGCC